This 110-nucleotide ribosomal RNA is filed under the name Benzingia caudata. RNAcentral's name for it is "partial 18S ribosomal RNA". It matches the Rfam family "Eukaryotic small subunit ribosomal RNA", at positions 1707 to 1831 of the family's 1831-position model. RNAcentral also lists the same sequence under 5 other names. Lineage: Eukaryota; Viridiplantae; Streptophyta; Magnoliopsida; Asparagales; Orchidaceae. The record is from RNAcentral.
CGGGCGGUUCGCCGCCCGUGACUCGGCGAGAAGUCCAUUGAACCUUAUCAUUUAGAGGAAGGAGAAGUCGUAACAAGGUUUCCGUAGGUGAACCUGCGGAAGGAUCAUUG